This 318-nucleotide ribosomal RNA is filed under the name uncultured eukaryote. RNAcentral describes it as "partial 18S ribosomal RNA". It matches the Rfam family "Eukaryotic small subunit ribosomal RNA", at positions 1470 to 1796 of the family's 1831-position model. The record is from RNAcentral.
CCCUUAGAUGUCCUGGGCCGCACGCGUGCUACACUGACGCAUACAGCGAGCACUUUCCAGUUCCGAGAGGCUACUGGUAAUCAUCAAUAUGCGUCGUGAUGGGGAUAGAUCUUUGGAAUUCUGGAUCUUGAACGAGGAAUGCCUAGUAAUCGCAGGUCAUUAGCCUGCGAUGAUUAAGUCCCUGCCCUUUGUACACACCGCCCGUCGCUACUACCGAUUUCGAGUGGUCAGGUGAAUCUUUCGGACUGUGGGCGCCCUUGAGGUGUUCGCGGAAAGUCAGGGAAAUCUUAUCACUUAGAGGAAGUAAAAGGCGUAACA